This 492-nucleotide ribosomal RNA is filed under the name uncultured bacterium. RNAcentral's name for it is "partial 16S ribosomal RNA". It matches the Rfam family "Bacterial small subunit ribosomal RNA", at positions 29 to 507 of the family's 1533-position model. The record is from RNAcentral.
AGUGAACGCUGGCGGUAGGCCUAACACAUGCAAGUCGAACGGCAGCACAGUAAGAGCUUGCUCUUACGGGUGGCGAGUGGCGUACGGGUGAGGAAUACAUCGGAAUCUACUUUUUCGUGGGGGAUAACGUAGGGAAACUUACGCUAAUACCGCAUACGACCUACGGGUGAAAGCAGGGGAUCUUCGGACCUUGCGCGAUUGAAUGAGCCGAUGUCGGAUUAGCUAGUUGGCGGGGUAAAGGCCCACCAAGGCGACGAUCCGUAGCUGGUCUGAGAGGAUGAUCAGCCACACUGGAACUGAGACACGGUCCAGACUCCUACGGGAGGAAGCAGUGGGGAAUAUUGGACAAUGGGCGCAAGCCUGAUCCAGCCAUACCGCGUGGGUGAAGAAGGCCUUCGGGUUGUAAAGCCCUUUUGUUGGGAAAGAAAAGCAGCAGGUUAAUACCCCGCUGUUCUGACGGUACCCAAAGAAUAAGCACCGGCUAACUUCGUG